CCUACGGGGGGCAGCAGUGGGGAAUAUUGCACAAUGGGCGCAGGCCUGAUGCAGCCAUGCCGCGUGUGUGAAGAAGGCCUUCGGGUUGUAAAGCACUUUCAGCGGGGAGGAAGGCGUUAAGGUUAAUAACCUUGUCGAUUGACGUUACCCGCAGAAGAAGCACCGGCUAACUCCGUGCCAGCAGCCGCGGUAAUACGGAGGGUGCAAGCGUUAAUCGGAAUUACUGGGCGUAAAGCGCACGCAGGCGGUCUGUCAAGUCGGAUGUGAAAUCCCCGGGCUCAACCUGGGAACUGCAUUCGAAACUGGCAGGCUAGAGUCUUGUAGAGGGGGGUAGAAUUCCAGGUGUAGCGGUGAAAUGCGUAGAGAUCUGGAGGAAUACCGGUGGCGAAGGCAGCCCCCUGGACAAAGACUGACGCUCAGGUGCGAAAGCGUGGGGAGCAAACAGGAUUAGAUACCCUUGUAGUC
RNAcentral lists this ribosomal RNA (465 nucleotides) under uncultured Klebsiella sp. RNAcentral describes it as "bacterial SSU rRNA". It matches the Rfam family "Bacterial small subunit ribosomal RNA", at positions 338 to 795 of the family's 1533-position model. Lineage: Bacteria; Pseudomonadati; Pseudomonadota; Gammaproteobacteria; Enterobacterales; Enterobacteriaceae. The record is from RNAcentral.